CGUCCUAUUAGCUAGUUGGUGAGGUAAUGGCUCACCAAGGCUACGAUGGGUAGGGGUUCUUAGUGGAAGGUCCCCCACACUGGCACUGAGAUACGGGCCAGACUCCUACGGGAGGCAGCAGUAGGGAAUAUUGGUCAAUGGGCGCAAGCCUGAACCAGCCAUGCCGCGUGCAGGAUGAAGGCUCUUUGAGUUGUAAACUGCUUUUGUACAGGAGCAAAAAAAUCCCUGCGGGGGUUCUUGAGAGUACUGUAAGAAUAAGCACCGGCUAAUUCCGUGCCAGCAGCCGCGGUAAUACGGGAGGUGCAAGCGUUAUCCGGUUUUAUUGGGUUUAAAGGGUGCGUAGGCGGCUUAUUAAGUCAGUUGUGAAAUCCUAGUGCUUAACGCUAGAACUGCGAUUGAUACUAUU
RNAcentral lists this ribosomal RNA (406 nucleotides) under Candidatus Cardinium hertigii. RNAcentral's name for it is "bacterial SSU rRNA". It matches the Rfam family "Bacterial small subunit ribosomal RNA", at positions 234 to 637 of the family's 1533-position model. Lineage: Bacteria; Pseudomonadati; Bacteroidota; Cytophagia; Cytophagales; Amoebophilaceae. The record is from RNAcentral.